Oncorhynchus keta (chum salmon) is the source of this 151-nucleotide long non-coding RNA. RefSeq lists it as uncharacterized. The record is from RefSeq and is a predicted model, not a curated record. The transcript is spliced from 3 exons. Lineage: Eukaryota; Metazoa; Chordata; Actinopteri; Salmoniformes; Salmonidae.
GUUUAGGGUAACUGUUCUGACUGUAUCGCUUCGGGUAACGAUAAGGACUGUAUCGUUUAGGGUAACGGUACUGACUGUAUCGUUAGGGUAACUGUACUGACUGUAUCGUUUAGGGUAACUGUACUGACUGUAUCGUUUAGGGUAACUGUAC